Molecule: long non-coding RNA, 9946 nt
Filed under: Homo sapiens (human)
Lineage: Eukaryota; Metazoa; Chordata; Mammalia; Primates; Hominidae
Description: HSALNT0063450
Rfam family: Histone 3' UTR stem-loop (bases 4134-4179)
Source: RNAcentral
UGAGCCACCAGUGGCAACCCUCUGGGGUCCCCUUGCACGCUGUGGAAGCUUUAUUGUUUCACUCUUUGCAAUAAAUCUUGCUGCUGCUCACUCUUUGGGUCCACACUGCCUUUAUGAGCUGUAACACUCACGAUGAAGUUCUGCAGCUUCACUCCUGAAGCCAGCGACACCACAAACCCACCAGGAGGAAGGAACAACUCCAGAUGCACCUCCUUAAGAGCUGUGACACUCACCGCGAAGGUCCGCAGCUUCACUCCUGAGCCGGCGAGACCACGAACCCCACCAGAAGGAAGAAACUCUGAACACCUCCGAACAUCAGAAGGAACAAACUCUGGACACGCUGCCUUUAGGAACUGUAACACUCACCGCGAGGGUCCCCGGCUUCAUUCUUGAAGUCAGUGAGACCAAAAUCCCACCAAUUCUGGACACACUAGGAAGACUGAGACCCAAUUGGACCAUCAAAGAACGACCCAAUCACCAGCACAAAGCUAAUAAACUUCAGCCAUAAUGUGUAAGGCAACGGGACAACAGACAGCAUCCAGCAGGGAUUCCUAAGAAAAGACAAAGCUGAAAUGGGAGUCUGAAUGACUUUUCUAGAUCUACUUAUUUAAAACUUAGGAGAUCAUAACAUAUUAAGACGGAAAAAGUGAUGCUCACGCCAGAGAAGAGUCAGCCCAAGGUCAUCUAGGAUCAGUGGCACACCUAGGAUUCAGGCCCAAGGACCCCCAGCUGACCUGCCUUCCCUGGAACCUCACUGUGAGUUCUUUAACCAUGGCUGUGUUUUCAAAGUUGAACUGGGGCUGCUGUUGAUACCACCUUUAAAUGCCUGCUUUUGUCAUGGAGACCAUGAGAACUUCACUCUUCAGCUGGCAAUUUACCUGGCUGCACAGUGCUCAGGCACACACAGGCUUCAGGGCUACAAGGUAAAGGAUUUGCCAAGGCCAAGUGCUGAAACCCACUUCUUGUUUUGAAGCAAAUGAGAACUUCCACCUGUAUUUGACCUGGGUAUGUAUAUUAAUUAGUUUGGCAACUGAGAUUUUUUUCUUGAUGAUCAAAAGUCCUAACUGGCAGUUAAAUAUGUCUUUUUUUUUUUUUUUUUUGAGACAGAGUUUCCCUCUUGUCACUCAGACUGGAGUGCAAUGGCACAAUCGAGGCUCACUGCAACCUCUUUCUCCCCAGUUCAAGCAAUUCUCCUGUUUCAGCCUCCCAAGUAGCUGGGAUCACAGGUGUCUGCCACCACACCUGGCUAAUUUUGUAUUUUUUAGUAGAGACAGGUUUUCACCAUGUUGGCUAGAUUGGUCCUGAACUCCUGACCUCAGGUAAUCCACCCGCCUCGGCCUCCCAAAGUUCUGGGAUUACAGGUGUGAGCCGCUGCCCCUGGUCAAAUAUGUCUUUUUAAAAAAAUAAUAAUAAUGACUUUUAAAUACAAGUGACCUGAGUAUGCAAAGUAUUUCUAGACUCAGGGUUCUUAAAGUGAGGAAAAAUUAGCAAAAGCAUUAUUUGACAGCCCCUAGAAUAGGCCAAAUAUGAAAUAACUAACAAAUUGCAGAUAGUAGUGUGCUCUACAAAGAAAAAGAGAGCAAGACAAUGGAUUACAGAAAAGAUGAAGUUUAUUUUAGAUGGAGUAUUAAGUGACAGAUUCUAUGAGGAGGUGAAAAUUGACCAGACAACUGAAAGAAGUAAAACAGCCAUACUAGUAUCUCAGGAAAAAUUAUCGCAGGAAAAAAAGAGGAAAAAUAAAAUGACUCUAUGUCGGAGGGAGUUUGGGCUGGCAUGGUGGCUCAUGCCUUUAAUCCCAGCACUUUGGGAGGGCGAGGUGGGUGGAUCACUUGAGGUCAGGAGUUCGAGACCAGCCUGCUGAACAUAGUGAAACCCGUCUCUACUAAAAAUACAAAAAUUAGCCUGGUGUGGUGGUGGGUGCCUGCAAUCUCAGCUACUCAGGAGGCUGAAGCAGGAGAAUUGCUGGAACCUGGGAGGUGGAGGUUGCAGUGAGCCUAGAUCAUGCCACUGCACUCCAGCCUGGGUGACAGAGUGAGACUCCACAAAAAAAAAAAAAAAAGGGGGGGGUGGGUGGGGAGGAGGGUUUGGCAUGUUUAAUGGAAAAGGUCUGUGUGUGACCAGAAUAGAUGGAAUGCAGAGAAGCAAAAUAUAGAUUUUAAUUUCCAUGGUUCUUUACUGAAGAGUGUUUCUUAUUUAAGUAACAACGCUAUGAUUAAAUUGAUUGUGAAAGAAUUACAAAUCUAGAAUUUAUUGCAUGAUCAGAUAGGAGAACAGAUUUGAUUUGCUAACUCUGUAUAAUAUACUACAGUGUAAGCCACCCUCUAUUACUUUAGCAAAAGAUGUUUUUUUCAUUUUCCUGCAAGUAUAUUUUUUCUCUAAAACCUUAAUUAGCAUUUUUUAAUAUUGCUGAAAGAUGGGGAUAUAAGUUCCAUUUAUUUCUUGAAACUGAAUAUAAUUAUCAAAUAUUGAAAAAUAAUAAUGGGCAUCAUUAUAAUUACUGUUAAGUAGUUUUCCUGUGUAGAGAGAAUUAUAAAAAUAUCCUUCAUUAUCUUUCAUGGAUAAAUGAUGUUUUUCUCAUGAGCCAGAGAAAAAUUAUCACAAUGUCUGCCCAGGUGUUUCUGUUAUGCUUACAGAAGUGAGUAGUGCUAUUUGCAGACACUGUACUUUCUCUCUUUUUCAUAUGAGUACAUUAAUCAAUUGUGGAGUUGUGGCAUCUGCUGUAAAACAAUUUGUUUUUCCAUUAUUUGAUGGCUACACUUUUUCUUUUAGUUUUUUUCUCUUCUUAUUGAAUCACAUUUUCUUUCCUCUUCUUUUAAAAAUAUUGCUGUAUUGAUUUACAAAAAAUAUAUAUUUUAUUGCCUCAUUUUAAUUUUUGGUAAUCCAUGUACUGCUUUAUUAAGGCCUAUAUAACUCAUAAUCCAACUCAUCGAUUAAAAGUUCAGGAAACCAAAGAGAUGGCUUUUUCUCCAAUUGAAGAUAUCAUAAUGAUAAUUUUGGGGGCUGGUGAAAACUGAGAUUGUCAGAAGGCUAAUUUUUUCUUAGAUGUCAUUUUUGUUGGUCACAAACUAGAGAUGAAGCUCUCUACAGGCAAGUAUAGAACCAUCUCUCUGUGCAACAAUUUGUAUUUUCAGACCACUUUUAGUCUUUGGGGGUAGAUACAAUUACUUAGAAAAAUCUUCAAUGUCUCUUUGGAAAACAGUUGAUCUCGAACUCAGUUCUAAAGCUGAGUCAGCAUCACAGGAUUUCAGAUUCUUGAAUGUUAUUUUUGUUGUCUUUCUCUUACUAAAUUGUUAUCACUGAAUAUUUCUCCUUUGUUUUACUCCAUUUGGACUGCUAUAACAAAAUACCAUAGACUGAGUAGCUUAUAAUACAGAAUUCACAUCUCACAGUUCUGAGGCUGGGAAGUUCAGCAUCAAGGUGCCAGCAGGUUCAGUGUCUUGUGAGGGCCUGUUUUCGGUUUCAUGGAGGGCCCCUUCUCACUGCAUCUUUACGUGGUACAAGUGGCAAGUCAGCUCUCUGGGGCCUCUUUUAUAAGAACACUUAUAGGAAUAUUGAAUUAGUGAACGAGCUCUGUUCUCGUGAAUUAAUCAUCUCCCAAAAGGCCCUAUCUCCUAACCCAUUUAUGCUGGAGGUUGCAAUUUUUGUGUGUGAAAAAUCAGACCUUGGCAAUGACCUUGAGCAGUAGGAUAUAAAUAACUCCCACAAGCUUAGCAUUCCAAUAAGGGAACACUAGGCAUAAAUGGGCUUAAUACCCUCAUCUUAGGGGAAAGGAUUUCAAUAUGUGAAUUUUGUGAAACACAAACAUUCAGACGGCAGCAUCUUUGCUUUCUUAAAAAGUUAAAUGAAACAAGUUCCCAAAUUUAAACAAGCAGAAAUAUGUAUACAGAUAAGGGUAGAGGAAUAGUUUAAAAUUAUUUUAAUUAGAUAUUUGAAGUCCUCAGUACGCUACAUUUAUAAAAAAGAAAUGGUAUAUGUGACAGGGAGCAAAAUAAAACCCUGUGUCAUAAAAAGAAUCCACUAUCAAUUAUUUAAAAAGAUCUUAGCAAGGAAAUAUCAGCUUCGAUAUUACAAACUUUUCAGAUGUGAAAAAUGAUUUAUUUUCAAAUAUAGUUCAAAUGAAGUUUUGCCUUAACAAAAUGGCUUUUCUAAAGGCCACCUUUAGAUCAAAAUACUUAAUCUAACUUGUGCCACUUCUUGGUAACCCUUGGUAACCCCUAAAUUGUUUUCUCUAUUUUCUCCAACUACUCUACUAAAAAGUUUCUUCCUAUUUCUCCACAUGGCUUCAAAAAAGGGAACAUAAAAGAGAAAUACCAGUCAGUGAUAAUCAUGUGGAAAAAAAUAAUAAUGUGAAGCAAUUUUUGUUUGUUUGUUUGUUUGUUUGUUUUCUCUCGAGGUCAUGAUCUGGUACUUUUUUACAGCAAACUCAUACUUAACAAAUUUUAAAGAUUUUUUAAAGAAUGAACUAAUGAAUUGGGUUAGGUAAGUUUAUCUUAACCAUUCUUAUGUCCUUUAAUUUUCUGCACUUUGCUAGUAUUUUACUUUUAGAAUCCGUAGUCAGCUUGAAUCAUAUUAAUUUUCUGACAACUGAAUAAAAAAUAUUUCAAUAUUUCAUGCAUCUUGUUUAUUUGUUUGUUUUGGUAGUUUUUUUUAAGAAAGUGAAAGUAGUUUAAUUUAGAGAGAAGCCAUGGAAACCGGGAAACAAAAAUGAGAUUGUGAUUGGGAAGGAAGGGAUCGUCAUCAAUAAAAUUGCUUUACUAAGCAAGUUAUUGCUGGAGGUGACAAAACUUUGAUCCCACUAGAGCCUUUAAAAGCCAGUAUCGAACACACUGUUCAGUAAUGCCACUCAAAUGAGCAGUGCAUUUAUUUAUUCAUUCUUUAUCAGUCAUUUGGUUGGUAGUAUGUUAUUAAUUCCACAGUAAUUCUGACUUGCCACUUGCAUGGACAAAUUGGGUUCCAGCUGCCAGAAAAAUCCUUCAGGCAAAGGAUGCAGCUGCCACCAGUUGGAAUUCUAGGGGAUACUUGGUCUUUAUAAUUUCUGAGUACAUAAGCAUCUACUAUAUGUGCUUAAUACAAAUGAAUGCCAUUUUAAUGUACCUUAAAAUUUCUAAGCAAAUACAUGAAAAGCAAUGUCUAAUUUCUUGCUUAUUUUCAAGGUAUACAGAUAACUCUGUUAUAUUCAGAAAGAGCAGGGACCUGAAAAAAAAAAUCUGUGUUAAAGUCUCAUAUGAACUAAAAAGAAAAAGUAAUUUAUUCUUCUGCUACUUCUCUUUUCAGUAAGGGUGGUUGCCUUGUCUUGCUCAUUGCAAGAAUGAAAGCUGUAUAAGUUGAAUGAAAAUAUAAAUAUGACUUUGAAGGUGGGUAAGUCUUACCUUCCCUUCUAGCAGUCUCUGAAGUUGCUUGAACAAUGGCUUAUUUUAUUAUUAGUUGGGACUCUUUGGUUGCAAGUAAUGGAAGUAUACUUGAACUAGAUUAGCAAAAAUGUAAGGCUUGUUAUAACAUUGCACAAGCACAGAACUCGCUGCUGGCUGGUAAGAUAUAGGACUACUGCAUUAUGGGGAUUUUUGAAUUCUAAUCUACUAGAGGGACCAUUGUUUUAAAAGUUCUUUAGAAGUUAUUCUUGGAACUACUAUUUAUACACGAAAGAAUGUGGAUGGAUCUCAAAAGCAUUAUGGCAAAAGACAGAAACAAAAGGCUACAUAUUGUUUCAUUCCAUUCACCUAACAUUUUAAAAAGCACAAAACUAUAGCAGUAAAAAUGAAUCAGUGGUCCCCAGAGACUAGGGGUAAAGGAGCAACUAUAAAAAGGAGACUUUUGGGAUAAUGGAACUAUUUUAAAUAUUGACUAUGGUUGUGGUCACAAGACUGCAAAACUGUAUACAGUUAUUAAUAUUUAUAGAACAAUACACUUCAAAAUGGGGGAUUUUAUUGAAUGCAAAUUAUACCUCAAUAAACCUGAUUGCUUUUUAAAAUAUAUAUAUAUAUAUAAAUAUGAAAUAGAUUAUUUUUAGUAAGUGACUAGAAAAAGGGCAAGCAAAAUAAUCGGUAACUUAGUAGGCAGCAAAUUAUUGUUCAUUUAUUUAACUCAGGUUUUAGAAAGUCCAUUGUGAAGCUAGUAAAAGAUUGUGAUUUGAAUUAUUUCUCAAAUUAUAGAUGAUUUUUAAUGAAGACAACAGAUAUACCUAAUAAAUUAUUUUUAAUUGAUCCAUGGAUACUAUCUUAUCUUUAUUCACACUUAGAUAUAAGAAAACACUAAAGAUAGACUUAGCAUGUUUCUAAAAUUAAUUUCUCUAAUUUGCAACACAGCACAUAAUAGUCAUGAUAAUUAAGCCAACUGAUAUCAUAAUUUAUGAUUACUUCUUGUCAGAAACUGUGAUAUUAUUUCCAUUGAGUAGGAAGUGGGGAGUGGGGCAAUUAAACUUAGUGCUAGAAUUAUUCUCCUUUUAAGCAUAAUUCAUCAAAAUCAAGAGUGAGCUUCAAAAUGACCAGUAAUAAAAGUAGGAAGAGAGAUGAUUUUCUAUAAAGUGCAAUUUAUGGAUUCUGGAUUCACAGAGAAAAUAAACACAUAGUGAAUUAGGUAAAAAUAAAAGAGGUAAAAUAUCCUGCAUGUAUUCUAUUAACAAGAUCAAAAGAAAACAAAAUUUACAUUACCGUAGAGAUCUUUAUAGCACCCCGUUUGUUAAAUUGAUAUUGUUGUGUUAAAAAAUUGACACAGACAUAUUAAUGGCUACAAAGAAAGAAAUAAAGAACUCCUUCUCACUUUUAAAUAGAUUCUGGAUUCUAGAGGAUAGUCCACACUUUCUUGUGCAAUUGUUUAAAUGUUGAAAUUGCUGACAUUAAGUGUGUAUGCAUUUACAUGUUGAAAUGCCACACAAAGGGUUUAUUAAUUUACUCUUUUUAUAAGCAAUGUAAGUCCUUGGUCUCUACAGUCUUAUCAAUAUCAAGUAUUUUGUACAUUACUGAUUUUGCCAAUUUAGUAUAUGAAGAAAAAGCCCACAAUAUAAUCUUUAUUUUGUUCAGUGGUAAGCAAAGUUAAACAUAUGUUUUUUAAAAGUCCCAUUUUGCGUCUUGAUUUCAAAUCAUCUGGUCAUAUUCCCAAAUAUUUAUAUGUUGCAUUCUUUGAUUUUUAUUCAUUUAUGGAAAAGUUUCGGGGAUAAAGAAGGAUUAGUAUUUUCUGUGUUCCACAUGGCUGUUCUAGACCAUUGAAACUCCUGUCCACAUAGUGUCUUAUUUUUUUUAAUAGUUUCACAUAGAAAGUAUGUUAAUAUACAUGAUCUUUUAAUUAUUUCCACAUAAAAGGUAUUUAGAAUUUAUCAUUAUUAUCAUCAUUUCAACUUUAGACUUAAAUAAACUGAACCUCAAAGUGGUCAAUGACUUGACCGAGUCCCAAGUAGAAAUGAAGCUGAUUUUCUGGCUUCUUUCGUAUUUUUUCAAACUACAUAUAUUCAUUACAUUUAUUUUACUAACAAAGUAUUGCUUUAUCCUUUCUUAUGAACCAGCAUUUUUAUUGUUUUUUUAAUUAAAUUUAUUCUUAUUAAUAAAAAAACAAGUCAAUUCCUUGGAAAUUUUUGCCGAAACCUGUUUUACAUUUCAAUAUCUCCAUAAUUGGCCAUAGGCUUUAAUGACAUUGAACUCCUUCUUUCUCUGUUGCUUCAGGCUUGUCCAUAGAAGUAAAUAUUCGCAUGAUUUUAACUUUCCAAACUGGCCCGAAAUAAUUUGUCUUAACUAUUGUCAAAUUAUUACCCACUUUGUAAAGCUGUGUUCAGUUUCUUCUCCUCAAUGAAAACGUUCAUGGUCAUAUAAAAAUAUGAUUACAAUUUUUCUCACUCUCUGAGUUACCUUGUAUUUUAUAAUAUUUUCAUGUAAGAAAAUGAGCUGUCCAUUUUAAAUGUCCAUCAUAAUUCUUCAAAUAAUGUUUAUAAAAUUAUACUCACUGGCUAGUAAUAUGCAGUUUGGCAACAGAAUGAGACUAUAUACAAAUUAAUAAAGUCAGUUGUUGGUCACAGUUAACAAUAAUUUUUCAUAAGCUUGGAGUUGAGGAAAUUCAAAGGCACUCAGUAUUUUUUUAAAUUAAGAAUUGCAAGAAGAAAGAGACAGAAAAUGAGUAUGUUAUUCAAAAUGAAAAGAUCAAUGCAAUCAUCCAAACCCAGUUAAGACUGUGUAACAGUGCAAAACAAGGUGUUUCUAAUAUUUCUAGAAUAUCACUGUCUUUCCCUUAUAGUAGGCUCAAGAUUUCUUUAAAUGACGUAGGGAAAGUAACUUUCCAUCGGCAAGACAGAAAAUAGCUAUUGGGAGAUUAGGGUAGGAGACGGAAGGAAAGCAAAGGGAAGGGAAGGGGAGGGGAGGGGAGGGAAGGGGAGGGGAAGGAGAAUGGCAGGAAAGAACAAGAAAAGGAGGGAGAAAGAACUAAGAAAGGAAGAGAGGAAGGGAGGGGAGGAGAGAGAGAGGAAAAGAGGAUGAAAAAUGAGAGGUGGAAUAACAGCUAGACAGGAAAGGAGAAUGAGAAAAGUAAGACGCAAACAGGGAGAGCAAAAAUUAAAGUAACCUAGAUGUGGCAGUCAAGAGAUUGUGAAAGAUGUGUAUACAAAAGAGGGGCCAUACCACAGCAGUAACUUGACCACAGCAGUAACUCAAUGCAUGAUUUGUGUUCCUGUAUCUUUUAAUGGCACAAGUCCUGGGACCUUUGAUGAGGCUCUGUCUAAUCAUAGAAGGACUCUGCCACCAGAAUAACCUAGUUUGCAUAAACUUUCCUCGUGUUUUCUUUCACUCCGCUAUCCAGACUGUAGGGUGUGCCUUACAUUAUUUAGCUGAAUUGUCAACAGGUGUACUGAGUAAACUGUUUGAUUUAUAAAUAUCUCUGUAUCUAAUCAUGUAUCAAUUUCUCAAAUUAUGGUGUUUCACAUAUUGGUUUCUCUAAAGAUUAUUUCAUUUCACAAUUUGAGGCAGUUUUGUGAAAAGAAACAUAUACAUAUAUUUUAAUUUCUGCCUGAAAUAUACAACAUUGAAUUUCAUUCAAAUAUUUAAUGCCUUCACAAAUAAAACGUAGCUAGUGUUUCAUGUUGCUGUUUAGAAGUUUAUUGAAAUAUGGCAGAUAAAAUGCUAUAGAGAUAUUAUUAUGUUUAAUAAUUCAGUAGUUGCUUCAAAUAUGCUAUAAAGUGUUGGAAUAUGGCCAGUUAACUUUAAAAUAUAGAAUAAUAAAAUAAUUGGAUUUAAAAUUGCUUCAUAUUAUUUUUGUUUAAUAAAAAGACAAUCCAUGUCUUAGGUGUACCCUUUUAAAUCCUAUCUACUUUCUGAUUCUUAGGAUUCUUAAAAAGAAUAUUGUAAUGACUGAACAGAAAUAUUAUAUCUGAUUUUGUACUAGAAAAUUGAAGCAGCAUGGGAUCAUGGCUAAGUAAGAGCUUUAUAGCAGUAGCAAAUAGUUACAUGAUUACUGAAGUAUAGCUGUCACUGGAAAUAGAAAGCUGCAAGGAACCUAUCAUAAAAGUAGCAAUUUCAGUUUCACUAGUGUUUAAAAUUAAAGCCUAGUAAUUCAUUGUGGAUGUAUUUCCUCAAUGGUUUCAGGAAAGUAUCCUGCUUUCACUGAGCAUUUUCACUUUGUUCCUUAUGUGUUUCCUUUCAUAAUGAAAAAGUUGUAAUUUCAGAUUGGUAAAACAAUUGUUAGGACUUUGUGAACAAACACUCAAAAAGUUUUGUGUCAUGAAAUAAUGAUUAGUCAAUUGUAUUUAUUGUUAUAACACACUAUGUUAAAAAUUCACUGCCAGAUGAUCCACAUUAUGUUAGGUAAACCAAUUUAAUCAACAGUUUCCUCUUUUGACAUAUAAUUAGCUGAUGGAUGAAUUUAGAGGUGUAAAAAACCUUCAAAUAAAAGCGUUUAUGGAAAAAAAUAAUGGCUGUUUAUGGAGUUUUGCAUACAUGUGUUACUGUCUUAAGAAGCUGAAAUGAGAUUUAAG